RNAcentral lists this ribosomal RNA (116 nucleotides) under Pteropus alecto (black flying fox). Lineage: Eukaryota; Metazoa; Chordata; Mammalia; Chiroptera; Pteropodidae. The record is from RNAcentral.
GUCUACGGCCAUGCCGCCCUGAACAAGCCCGAUGUCCGAUCUCGGAAGCUAAGCAGGGUCGGGUCUGGUUAGUACUGGGAUGGGAGACCACCUAAGAAGACCAGGUGCCAUAGACA